UCAAAAGCUUCGUGAAAACCUAACCUACACUACUACAGUCAUCAAAUUAAUUCAUCAUUUCAUGGCCGAUUACAUAGAAAUUGGUAUUUCUUUCGAUGAGGUUCUACUCGCUACAAUCAAUAAUUCUUUAGCUAAUUUUAAUCUCGGCGGUCCUGGUUCGCGUAAUUACAUACGACGACUGGUUCUUUUUAGGUUAUUUGGCUCGUUCGACAAACCAACAAUUAAUGAACUUGCAAAAUCUGUUGGAGAUUUCUGCAAGAAUCUCACUCAUCCUGUCAAUUUUUGUUUCUCUGCUAUCGGGAUGCAUUACAUUAACAAGUCGAUGUUGUUAUAUGCUAGCCCUAAUUUAACACUAUUAGAUCUACAUACAAGAUUGUAUGAUGCUAUCACCUACGGCAUAGGUUUGGAUGUUCAUGAAGACUUUACACCAGAUAAUUGGGUGCCUUCGGUAGCUUUAAGAGAAAUUAAUAAUGAUUACUUUGAGGAAUCUUUAAGGGUAUUUCGUGAAAGGAUAAAUUUACCAGUAUAUGGCUACGGUCUUUCAGUUGAAAUACGUCGCUUAAGAAUUGGGGAUAUAAAGAUUGCAAGUUUUCCUCUUUCUCGUUUCCAGCUACCCAUCCCACUUCCCUCGCCUCCGCUCCCAUGACAACUUUAGGAGGCAAGUAAUACCAGCUCGGAAGUAUAAUAGAGAAUUCUUAUAACCUUUUUCUGGACUUCCUAGAAGGAAGAUAGAUCGAAGAGCACAUUGGUUAUACAUUUCUAACCUUAUUUUGGUCUUUCUAGUUUAUGACACCAGUGCCAUGCAACAUAUAUGAUUCAUUUUGUGGAGGCUUAAAAUUACUAUUGUAGCUAUUCACUAUCUAUUAUCAUCCUAUAUGUUCAAUGGUUUAGUUAGUCUUAUUGUUUAUUGUUUUAA
Long non-coding RNA from Papaver somniferum (opium poppy), 916 nucleotides. RefSeq lists it as uncharacterized. NCBI's taxonomy places the organism in Eukaryota, Viridiplantae, Streptophyta, Magnoliopsida, Ranunculales, Papaveraceae. The transcript is spliced from 2 exons. The record is from RefSeq and is a predicted model, not a curated record.